CGAUACUUUUAAAAUCGGUUAUUUAAGAAUCAAUUUUUUAUACUACAUACAAAAUUGGUUCUUAAAUAACCGAUUUUAAAAGUAGCA
RNAcentral lists this microRNA precursor (87 nucleotides) under Cajanus cajan (pigeon pea). Its description in RNAcentral is "miRNA gene-KK1_039581". Lineage: Eukaryota; Viridiplantae; Streptophyta; Magnoliopsida; Fabales; Fabaceae. The record is from RNAcentral.